UCAGGAUGAACGCUGGCGGCGUGCCUAACACAUGCAAGUCGAGCGAUCUCUCGGAGAAGAGCGGCGGACGGGUGAGUAACGCGUGGGUAACCUGCCUCAUACACAUGGAUAACAUACCGAAAGGUAUGCUAAUACAGGAUAAUAUAAGAGAUUCACAUGGAUUUCUUAUCAAAGCUCCGGCGGUAUGAGAUGGACCCGCGUCUGAUUAGCUAGUUGGUAAGGUAACGGCUUACCAAGGCGACGAUCAGUAGCCGACCUGAGAGGGUGAUCGGCCACAUUGGAACUGAGACACGGUCCAAACUCCUACGGGAGGCAGCAGUGGGGAAUAUUGCACAAUGGGCGAAAGCCUGAUGCAGCAACGCCGCGUGAGUGAUGAAGGCCUUCGGGUCGUAAAACUCUGUCCUCAAGGAAGAUAAUGACGGUACUUGAGGAGGAAGCCCCGGCUAACUACGUGCCAGCCGCCGC
RNAcentral lists this ribosomal RNA (465 nucleotides) under uncultured bacterium. RNAcentral describes it as "bacterial SSU rRNA". It matches the Rfam family "Bacterial small subunit ribosomal RNA", at positions 24 to 518 of the family's 1533-position model. The record is from RNAcentral.